Molecule: ribosomal RNA, 2888 nt
Filed under: marine metagenome
Description: bacterial LSU rRNA
Rfam family: Bacterial large subunit ribosomal RNA
Source: RNAcentral
GGGGAAUGCCCAGUCACUUUACACUGAAUAUAUAGGUGUAGAGGAGGCACCCAGGGAAGUGAAACAUCUCAGUACCUGGAGGAAAAGAAAAUAAUGAGUUCUAUUCUCAUCUCGACGCUCGAUUCAUCGAGGUUCGAGAUGAUGAAUAGUUGCUUACAUUCCCUAAGUAGCGGCGAGCGAAAGGGGAACAGCCCAAACCUAUCAAGUGAAGUCAGCGGAAGUAUCUCUUCGGAGGUGCGGAUGCGAAACGAAAGGUAUCAGCCCUUGCUUGGUAGGUGUUGUAAGUGCGAACGUGUGUAACUGAUAUUGCACGGUGUGAUUGAUUAUAGUUAGCAAAAUUUGCUGGAAAGCAAAACCAAAGAAGGUGAUAGUCCUGUAUGCGAAAAUUAUUUAUCAACACUCGGUUCGUUACUUGAGUACGGCGGGACACGUGAAAUCCUGUUGGAAUCUCCCGCGACUAUGCGGUAAGGCUAAAUACAUGUUUUGAUCGAUAGCGAAGAGUACCGUGAGGGAAAGCUGAAAAGAACCCCGGAAGGGGAGUGAAAUAGAAUCUGAAACCAUAUACCUACAAGGAGUUGGAGCCCAUUUAUUGGGUGACAGCGUUCCUAUUGAAGAAUGAGCCAACGAGUUUAUGUCUGUUGCAGGUUAAGUCCUUCGGGAUGGAGCCAAAGUGAAAGCGAGCCUUAACGGGCGUUUGUAGCAGGUAUAAGACCCGAAACUAAGCGACCUAUCCAUGGCCAGGGUGAAGCCAGCCUAAAAACUGGUGGAGGCCCGAACCCACACGUCGUGCAAAACGUCGGGAUGAGCUGUGGAUAGCGGAGAAAUUCCAAUCGAGCUUAGUAAUAGCUGGUUCUCCUCGAAAUAUGUUUAGGCAUAGCGUCGGUUAAUAGCGUGUUGGGGGUAGAGCACUGAUUGGGGUUGGCGCCUUCGGGUAGCCGCCCUAGCCAAACUCCGAAUACCAACACGUGUUCCCGGCAGUCAGACCAUGGGGGCGAAGCUCCAUUGGUCUAAAGGGAAACAGCCCAGAUCUCAAGCUAAGGUCCCUAAAUCAUUACUGAGUGUAAAAGGUGGUGAGAAGACUUAUACAACCAGGAGGUUGGCUUAGAAGCAGCCAUCCUUUAAAGAUAGCGUAACAGCUCACUGGUCAAGUUUUCUUGCGCCGAAAAUGUACCGGGGCUAAGUAAUGUACCGAAGCUGAGGGUGUCACAUUCUUUCGAGAGUGUGGCGCGGUAGAGGAGCAUUCCUAUUGCGUUGAAGUCAAACCGUAAGGUUUGGUGGAGCGAUGGGAAGAGAGAAUGUUGGCAUGAGUAGCAAAAAGACAGGUGAGAACCCUGUCCGCCGAAAACCUAAGGUUUCCACAGCAACGAAAAUCGUCUGUGGGUUAGUCGGGAGCUAAGGCGAGGCCGAAAGGCGUAGUCGAUGCACAGCAGGUUAAUAUUCCUGCACCACGGUAGUGUUCUAAUGGGGGGACGCUUGCCAGAAUUUCCUGUAUCCUAUGGCUAUGAUACUGGGGGCUCGGGGUGGACUGAUAGGAAAAUCCGUCAGUCACAACACCCUUAGUCAUCGCAACCCUGCUUAGGCAGGGGAGAGGAAAAAAUGGUGGGUCAAGAAAAGCCUCUAGGGUUAACACUAUUGUGCCCGUACCAAAUCCGACACAGGUAGGUGGGUGUAAAUGCACUAAGGCGUACGAGUGAAACAUUGUUAGGGAACUCGGCAAAACAGCGGCCGUAACUUCGGGAUAAGGCCUGGUUUUUCUCGGGAGAGAAAGACCCUCAGCAAAUGACUGCAAGCGACUGUUUAUCAAAAACACAGGUCCCUGCUAAACCGUAAGGUGAUGUAUAGGGGCUGAUGCCUGGCCAGUGUCCGAACGUUAAGGAAGCGGGUUAGAUUCUUCGGAAUCGAAGCUUGCGACUGAAGCGCGGAUGAACGCCGGCCGUAACUAUAACGGUCCUAAGGUAGCGAAAUUCCUUGUCGGGUGAGUUCCGACCUGCACGAAUGGCAUAACGACUUGCAGACUGUCCCAACAAUGUACUCGGCGAAAUUGCGAUGAGAGUGAAGAUGCUCUCUACGCACAGUCGGACGAAAAGACCCCGUGAAGCUUUACUACAGCUUGUCAUUGGAUUUAUGUUUCACAUGUUCAGUAUAGGUGGGAGCCUUCGGGCGCCAGUGAGAUACCACCCUUGUGUUGUGUGAAUCCUAACCGGCGACCAUGAAUCUGGUUGCUGGGACAGUGGCUGGUGGGUAGUUUUACUGGGGCGGUAGCCUCCUAAAAGGUAACGGAGGCGUUUACAAAGGUUGGCUUAGCCCGGAUGGAAAUCGGGCUGAAUGUGCAAACGCAGAAGCCAGCUUUAUUGCAAGACUGACACGUCGCGCAGUUGCGAAAGCAGAAGUUAGUGAUCCGACCGUACGAUAUAGGACGGCGGAAGCUCAUCGGAUAAAAGCUACUCCGGGGAUAACAGGCUAGUUUCGCCCAAGCGUCCACAGCGACGGCGAAGUUCGGCACCUCGAUGUCGGCUCAUCGCAUCCUGGGGGUGAAGAAGCUCCCAAGGGUUAGGCUGUUCGCCUAUUAAAGCGGUACGCGAGCUGGGUUCAGAACGUCGUGAGACAGUUCGGUCUCCUAUCCACUACGCACGUUGAAGAUUGAAAGGACUCAUCCCUAGUACGAGAGGACCGGGAUGAACUGACCUCUGGUGUACCAGUUGUUCCGCCUGGAGCAUGGCUGGGUAGCUACGUCGGGUUCGGAUAACCGCUGAAAGCAUCUAAGCGGGAAGUCGACCUUAAGAUUAAUCUUCUUAGACACCUCAGAGACUAUGAGGUUGAUAGGCACUAGAUGUAAGCUCGGUAACGAGUUCAGUCAAGGUGUACUAAUUAGUCAUAUGGCCCUCCAC